GACGAACGCUGGCGGCGUGCUUAACACAUGCAAGUCGAACGGAAAGGCCCUGCUUUUGUGGGGUGCUCGAGUGGCGAACGGGUGAGUAACACGUGAGUAACCUGCCCUUGACUUGGGAUAACUUCAGGAAACUGGGGCUAAUACCGGAUAGGAGCUCCUGCUGCCUGGUGGGGGUUGGAAAGUUUCGGCGGUUGGGGAUGGACUGGCGGCUUAUCAGCUUGUUGGUGGGGUAGUGGCUUACCAAGGCUUUGACGGGUAGCCGGCCUGAGAGGGUGACCGGCCACAUUGGGACUGAGAUACGGCCCAGACUCCUACGGGAGGCAGCAGUGGGGAAUAUUGCACAAUGGGCGGAAGCCUGAUGCAGCAACGCCGCGUGCGGGAUGACGGCCUUCGGGUUGUAAACCGCUUUCGCCUGUGACGAAGCGUGAGUGACGGUAAUGGGUAAAGAAGCACCGGCUAACUACGUG
RNAcentral lists this ribosomal RNA (467 nucleotides) under uncultured bacterium. RNAcentral describes it as "partial 16S ribosomal RNA". It matches the Rfam family "Bacterial small subunit ribosomal RNA", at positions 28 to 507 of the family's 1533-position model. The record is from RNAcentral.